Molecule: long non-coding RNA, 374 nt
Organism: Pieris brassicae (large cabbage white)
Lineage: Eukaryota; Metazoa; Arthropoda; Insecta; Lepidoptera; Pieridae
Exons: 3
Source: RefSeq, a predicted model, not a curated record
CACGAAAUGUCAGAUAUUAAAAAAUGUUAAACACGGUUUUAUUCAUUGUAGUAUUUGUGUAUAUCACAGCCUGCGAUGUUAAUUACUCUGACAAUAAUAACCAUGGAUUUAAAUAUCUAAGUCAGCGAGAAGUGUACUAUCAGUAUACGCAGUGCACGCGUCGUUUUUCUCCUGGUGUGUGCUCUACGCCAAUGAGACCUGUGUGGACUUUUGCAUUCCCGCUUCAAAAUUGCACCGAAAGACUAGGAUGUCCGCGCGACUUGCGCGCAAACCGAUUUAUGUCAUAUUCUCGGUGUAAGAGACACUGCCAAGGUCUGAUAGAUCUUUACACACAUAUACUGGCAAGUGGUAACAAUAACGUUACCAUGUUAAGA